CCUACGGGAGGCAGCAGUGAGGAAUAUUGGUCAAUGGACGCGAGUCUGAACCAGCCAAGUCGCGUGAGGGAUGACGGUCCUAUGGGUUGUAAACUUCUUUUGUAGGGGAGUAAAACUGGGUACGUGUACCUGUGUGCAUGUACUUUAUGAAUAAGGAUCGGCUAACUCCGGUCCAGCCGCCGGGGUAAUACGGAGGGUUCGGGCGUUAGCCGGAUUUAUUGGGUUUAAAGGGAGCGUAGGUGGGUAGUUAAGUUAGUUGUGAAAGAUUGCGGCUCAACCGCAGAAGUGCAGUUGAUACUGGCAGGCUUGAGUAUAGUUGAGGUAGGCGGAAUGCGUGGUGUAGCGGUGAAAUGCAUAGAUAUCACGCAGAACACCGAUUGCGAAGGCAGCUUACCAAACUGCGACUGACGUUGAGGCACGAAAGCGUGGGUAUCAAACAGGAUUAGAUACCCCAGUAGUC
Molecule: ribosomal RNA, 460 nt
Filed under: uncultured bacterium
Lineage: Bacteria
Description: partial 16S ribosomal RNA
Rfam family: Bacterial small subunit ribosomal RNA
Source: RNAcentral